CACGUAGGGCGCAAGCGUUGUCCGGAAUUAUUGGGCGUAAAGAGCUCGUAGGCGGUCUGUUGCGUCCGCUGUGAAAACUCGGGGCUUAACCCCGAGCCUGCAGUGGAUACGGGCAGACUAGAGGUAGGUAGGGGAGAAUGGAAUUCCCGGUGUAGCGGUGAAAUGCGCAGAUAUCGGGAGGAACACCAAUGGCGAAGGCAGCUCGCUGGGACGUUACUGACGCUGAGACGCGAAAGCGUGGGGAGCAAACAGG
This 253-nucleotide ribosomal RNA is filed under the name uncultured bacterium. Its description in RNAcentral is "partial 16S ribosomal RNA". It matches the Rfam family "Bacterial small subunit ribosomal RNA", at positions 524 to 776 of the family's 1533-position model. The record is from RNAcentral.